GGACGGGUGAGUAACGCGUGGGUAACCUACCCCAAAGUCCGGGAUAACAGCGGGAAACCGCUGCUAAUACCGGAUGCCUUUACCUUGGGGCAUCUUGAGGUAAAGAAAGGCAACGCUUUGGGAUGGGCCCGCGUCCCAUUAGCUAGUUGGUGAGGUAACGGCUCACCAAGGCGACGAUGGGUAGCCGGCCUGAGAGGGUGGACGGCCACACUGGGACUGAGACACGGCCCAGACUCCUACGGGAGGCAGCAGUAGGGAAUAUUGCGCAAUGGACGGAAGUCUGACGCAGCGACGCCGCGUGAGCGAUGAAGGUCUUCGGAUCGUAAAGCUCUGUCCUUGGGGAAGAAGGUCUUCGGACUUGACGGUACCCAAGAAGAAAGCCCCGGCUAACUACGUGCCAGCAGCCGCGGUAAUACGUAGGGGGCGAGCGUUGUCCGGAAUUACUGGGCGUAAAG
Molecule: ribosomal RNA, 455 nt
Filed under: uncultured bacterium
Lineage: Bacteria
Description: bacterial SSU rRNA
Rfam family: Bacterial small subunit ribosomal RNA
Source: RNAcentral